GAUGAACGCUGGCGGCGUGCUUAACACAUGCAAGUCGAACGAAACACCUUAUUUGAUUUUCUUCGGAACUGAAGAUUUGGUGAUUGAGUGGCGGACGGGUGAGUAACGCGUGGGUAACCUGCCCUGUACAGGGGGAUAACAGUCAGAAAUGACUGCUAAUACCGCAUAAGACCACAGCACCGCAUGGUGCAGGGGUAAAAACUCCGGUGGUACAGGAUGGACCCGCGUCUGAUUAGCUGGUUGGUGAGGUAACAGCUCACCAAGGCGACGAUCAGUAGCCGGGUUGAGAGAGUGAACGGCCACAUUGGGACGGAGACACGGCCCAAACUCCUACGGGAGGCAGCAGUGGGGAAUAUUGCACAAUGGGGGAAACCCUGAAGGGGCGACGCCGGGUGAGUGAAGAAGUAUUUCGGUAUGUAAAGCUCGAUCAGCAGGGAAGAAAAUGACGGUACCUGACGAAGAAGCCCCGGCUAACUACGUG
This 481-nucleotide ribosomal RNA is filed under the name uncultured bacterium. RNAcentral's name for it is "partial 16S ribosomal RNA". It matches the Rfam family "Bacterial small subunit ribosomal RNA", at positions 28 to 507 of the family's 1533-position model. The record is from RNAcentral.